CUACGGGUCGCUGCAGUGGGGAAUUUUGGACAAUGGGGGCAACCCUGAUCCAGCCAUUCCGCGUGAGUGAAGAAGGCCUUCGGGUUGUAAAGCUCUUUCGCAAGGGAAGAAACGAUACAGUCUAAUAAGCUGUGUUAAUGACGGUACCUUGAUAAGAAGCACCGGCUAACUACGUGCCAGCAGCCGCGGUAAUACGUAGGGUGCGAGCGUUAAUCGGAAUUACUGGGCGUAAAGCGUGCGCAGGCGGUUUUGAAAGUCAGAUGUGAAAUCCCCGGGCUCAACCUGGGAACUGCGUUUGAAACUCCAAAGCUAGAGUAUAGGAGAGGGGGGUAGAAUUCCACGUGUAGCAGUGAAAUGCGUAGAGAUGUGGAGGAAUACCAAUGGCGAAGGCAGCCCCCUAGCUUAAUACUGACGCUCAUGCACGAAGGCGUGGGGAGCAAACAGGAUUAGAUACCCUAGUAGUC
Molecule: ribosomal RNA, 464 nt
Filed under: uncultured bacterium
Lineage: Bacteria
Description: partial 16S ribosomal RNA
Rfam family: Bacterial small subunit ribosomal RNA
Source: RNAcentral